Molecule: transfer RNA, 70 nt
Filed under: Rattus norvegicus (Norway rat)
Lineage: Eukaryota; Metazoa; Chordata; Mammalia; Rodentia; Muridae
Rfam family: tRNA
About the family: Transfer RNA (tRNA) molecules are approximately 80 nucleotides in length. Their secondary structure includes four short double-helical elements and three loops (D, anti-codon, and T loops).
Source: Rfam by way of RNAcentral
UGGGAUUUAGCUCAGUGGUAGAGCGCUUGCCUAGCAAGCGUGAGGCCCUAGGUUCGAUCCUCAGCUCCAG